GACGAACGCUGGCGGCGUGCCUAAUACAUGCAAGUAGAACGCUGAAGGAGGAGCUUGCUUCUCUGGAUGAGUUGCGAACGGGUGAGUAACGCGUAGGUAACCUGCCUGGUAGCGGGGGAUAACUAUUGGAAACGAUAGCUAAUACCGCAUAAGAGUAGAUGUUGCAUGACAUUUACUUAAAAGGUGCAAUUGCAUCACUACCAGAUGGACCUGCGUUGUAUUAGCUAGUUGGUGGGGUAACGGCUCACCAAGGCGACGAUACAUAGUCGACCUGAGAGGGUGAUCGGCCACACUGGGACUGAGACACGGCCCAGACUCCUACGGGAGGCAGCAGUAGGGAAUCUUCGGCAAUGGACGGAAGUCUGACCGAGCAACGCCGCGUGAGUGAAGAAGGUUUUCGGAUCGUAAAGCUCUGUUGUAAGAGAAGAACGAGUGUGAGAGUGGAAAGUUCACACUG
Molecule: ribosomal RNA, 457 nt
Filed under: Streptococcus mitis
Lineage: Bacteria; Bacillati; Bacillota; Bacilli; Lactobacillales; Streptococcaceae
Description: bacterial SSU rRNA
Rfam family: Bacterial small subunit ribosomal RNA
Source: RNAcentral